GACAAAAAUGACACCUAUAAAUGAACUGAUUGUGAAUGAGUUUAUAUCCAUGAAAAUUAAUCCAACAGAACCAAUUCAAAAAUGGGAAUAAAGCCAAGAAUGAAUUCAAUUCGCAGUAUACUUUGGAUCCCAACAUUUGUGCUUAGGCCUAAGUCUUAGGAUUAGUGACAAUAAUUAAAUGCUCAAACAGAGUGAUUUCAGAAAAAUUGUUAAUCAUAAUCUGCACAUGGAAAAAAAAUUAUAUUGGAAUAAGCUUCAGAAUGAGAGAUGAUUCUUAC
This 278-nucleotide unclassified non-coding RNA is filed under the name Hevea brasiliensis (rubber tree). Lineage: Eukaryota; Viridiplantae; Streptophyta; Magnoliopsida; Malpighiales; Euphorbiaceae. The record is from RNAcentral.